RNAcentral lists this ribosomal RNA (357 nucleotides) under uncultured bacterium. RNAcentral's name for it is "bacterial SSU rRNA". It matches the Rfam family "Bacterial small subunit ribosomal RNA", at positions 335 to 665 of the family's 1533-position model. The record is from RNAcentral.
ACUCCUACGGGAGGCAGCAGUGGGGAAUAUUGCACAAUGGGGGAAACCCUGAUGCAGCCAUGCCGCGUGUGUGAAGAAGGCCUUCGGGUUGUAAAGCACUUUCAGUAGGGAGGAAGGUAGUGUAGUUAACACCUGCAUUAUUUGACGUUACCUACAGAAGAAGCACCGGCUAACUCCGUGCCAGCAGCGCGGCUGAACGUGAUCGGAGGGUGCGAGUCGUAUCGAUNGUAAUUGACCUUGGGGGCCGGUUAAAAGGCCGGCCAAUGGCAGGCGGCCUGUUAAGUCAGAUGUGAAGCCCGGGCUUAACCUCGGAAUUGCAUUGAACUGGCAGGCUAGAGUCUUGUAGAGGGGGUAGAA